CGCGUAGGCGGACUGUCAAGUCAGUCGUGAAAUACCGGGGCUUAACCCCGGGGCUGCGACUGAAACUGACAGCCUUGAGUAUCGGAGAGGAAAGCGGAAUUCCUAGUGUAGCGGUGAAAUGCGUAGAUAUUAGGAGGAACACCAGUGGCGAAGGCGGCUUUCUGGACGACAACUGACGCUGAGGCGCGAAAGUGUGGGGAAGCAAACA
RNAcentral lists this ribosomal RNA (208 nucleotides) under uncultured bacterium. Its description in RNAcentral is "partial 16S ribosomal RNA". It matches the Rfam family "Bacterial small subunit ribosomal RNA", at positions 568 to 774 of the family's 1533-position model. The record is from RNAcentral.